RNAcentral lists this non-coding RNA (29 nucleotides) under Rattus norvegicus (Norway rat). Lineage: Eukaryota; Metazoa; Chordata; Mammalia; Rodentia; Muridae. The record is from RNAcentral.
UAACAUAUGAAUUUGGAGGGACACCAACU